This 446-nucleotide ribosomal RNA is filed under the name uncultured bacterium. RNAcentral describes it as "partial 16S ribosomal RNA". It matches the Rfam family "Bacterial small subunit ribosomal RNA", at positions 338 to 795 of the family's 1533-position model. The record is from RNAcentral.
CCUACGGGAGGCAGCAGUAGGGAAUUUUCGGCAAUGGGGGGAACCCUGACCGAGCAACGCCGCGUGAACGAAGAAGUUAUUCUUAAUGUAAAGUUCUUUUAACAGGGAAGAAAGAUAAAUUUGACGGUACCUUUAGAAUAAGCCCCGGCUAACUACGUGCCAUCAGCCGCGGUAAUACGUAGGGAUCGAGCGUUAUCCGGAAUUAUUGGGCGUAAGGGGUGCGUAGAUGGCAUAGUAAGUCUUUUGUAAAAAUGCUGGGCUCAACCCAGUAGGGCAAAAGAAACUGCAAAGCUAGAGUAUGACAGAGGCAGGUGGAACUCCUUGUGUAGCGGUAAAAUGCGUAAAUAUAUGUAAGAACACCAGUGGCGAAGGCGGCUUGCUGGGUCGAGACUGACGUUGAGGCACGAAAGCGUGGGGAGCAAACAGGAUUAGAUACCCUAGUAGUC